Lolium perenne is the source of this 108-nucleotide small nucleolar RNA. RefSeq annotates it as small nucleolar RNA Z118/Z121/Z120. Lineage: Eukaryota; Viridiplantae; Streptophyta; Magnoliopsida; Poales; Poaceae. The record is from RefSeq and is a predicted model, not a curated record.
UGUUUGCCUUGAUGAAUCACAAGGACGGUAUCUGAGAAAGGUUGCUCUUCUAAAAGGCCCCCUUUAUUGAUUACGCAUCCUUAACUGAUCAUAUUUUCUGAGCAAACA